AGAGUUUGAUCAUGGCUCAGGAUGAACGCUGGCGGCGUGCUUAACACAUGCAAGUCGAACGGUGAAGCCAAGCUUGCUUGGUGGAUCAGUGGCGAACGGGUGAGUAACACGUGAGCAACCUGCCCUGAACUCUGGGAUAAGCGCUGGAAACGGCGUCUAAUACUGGAUAUGAGCUGCGGAGGCAUCUUCGUGGUUGGAAAGAUUUUUCGGUUUGGGAUGGGCUCGCGGCCUAUCAGCUUGUUGGUGAGGUAAUGGCUCACCAAGGCGUCGACGGGUAGCCGGCCUGAGAGGGUGACCGGCCACACUGGGACUGAGACACGGCCCAGACUCCUACGGGAGGCAGCAGUGGGGAAUAUUGCACAAUGGGCGGAAGCCUGAUGCAGCAACGCCGCGUGAGGGAUGACGGCCUUCGGGUUGUAAACCUCUUUUAGCAGGGAAGAAGCGAAAGUGACGGUACCUGCAGAAAAAGCGCCGGCUAACUACGUGCCAGCAGCCGCGGUAAUAC
RNAcentral lists this ribosomal RNA (505 nucleotides) under uncultured bacterium. RNAcentral describes it as "bacterial SSU rRNA". It matches the Rfam family "Bacterial small subunit ribosomal RNA", at positions 8 to 526 of the family's 1533-position model. The record is from RNAcentral.